RNAcentral lists this ribosomal RNA (450 nucleotides) under uncultured bacterium. RNAcentral's name for it is "partial 16S ribosomal RNA". It matches the Rfam family "Bacterial small subunit ribosomal RNA", at positions 354 to 796 of the family's 1533-position model. The record is from RNAcentral.
GUGGGGAAUCUUCCACAAUGGACGAAAGUCUGAUGGAGCAACGCCGCGUGAGUGAAGAAGGGUUUCGGCUCGUAAAGCUCUGUUGUCGGGGACGAAUGUGCAGUAUUUGAAUAAAGUAGUGCAAUGACGGUACCUGACGAGGAAGCCACGGCUAACUACGUGCCAGCAGCCGCGGUAAUACGUAGGUGGCAAGCGUUGUCCGGAAUUAUUGGGCGUAAAGGGAGCGCAGGCGGGAAGGUAAGUCGGUCUUAAAAGUGCGGGGCUCAACCCCGUGAUGGGAUCGAAACUAUAUUUCUUGAGUGCAGGAGAGGAAAGUGGAAUUCCUAGUGUAGCGGUGAAAUGCGUAGAUAUUAGGAGGAACACCAGUGGCGAAGGCGACUUUCUGGACUGUAACUGACGCUGAGGCUCGAAAGCCAGGGGAGCGAACGGGAUUAGAAACCCCGGUAGUCC